Molecule: long non-coding RNA, 495 nt
Organism: Carassius gibelio (silver crucian carp)
Lineage: Eukaryota; Metazoa; Chordata; Actinopteri; Cypriniformes; Cyprinidae
Exons: 3
Source: RefSeq, a predicted model, not a curated record
UGUAUAAGCAACGAGAGCCAGUGGGUGCAGCGCUAUCAAAUUUAAACAGUGAUACUGCUCCGCUGACAAGUUUUGAGUAUAACAUUAUACAAGAAUCAUUGUCACUACUGCAGCCUUUCAAACUCGCAACGACAGAGUUGUCAGAGGAACAGAGAGUGUCUGCUUCAAAGCUCAUACCACUUUACAGGAUGUUGCAGCACAAGCUAUCGCAGAAAAAAGGCCAAUCAGCACAGGAAUCAACUGCACAAUUAGGCACACACCUGCAAGAAGGUCUGCACUCAAGAUGUGGUGGGUACGAGUCAUUCAGAGCCUUGGCUCUGGCUACACUGCUGGACCCAAGGUUCAAAAAUGUGGGUUUUGGAAAUCCUGCCAAAGCCCAGGAGGCUGAAAAGCAGAUCACACUGGAGUGUGCUUCGCUGAUGCGUUCAAACACAGCAACUCCUGAGCCACAGUCAACAUCAGGCCCAUCAUCAUCAUCAUCAACAACAACAUCAA